This 421-nucleotide ribosomal RNA is filed under the name uncultured microorganism. RNAcentral's name for it is "bacterial SSU rRNA". It matches the Rfam family "Bacterial small subunit ribosomal RNA", at positions 9 to 429 of the family's 1533-position model. The record is from RNAcentral.
GAGUUUGAUCGUGGCUCAGAUUGAACGCUGGCGGCAUGCCUUACACAUGCAAGUCGAACGGCAGCAUGAUCUAGCUUGCUAGAUUGAUGGCGAGUGGCGAACGGGUGAGUAAUACAUCGGAACGUGCCCUGUAGUGGGGGAUAACUAGUCGAAAGAUUAGCUUAUACCGCAUACGACCUGAGGGUGAAAGUGGGGGACCGCAAGGCCUCAUGCUAUAGGAGCGGCCGAUGUCUGAUUAGCUAGUUGGUGGGGUAAAGGCCCACCAAGGCGACGAUCAGUAGCUGGUCUGAGAGGACGAUCAGCCACACUGGGACUGAGACACGGCCCAGACUCCUACGGGAGGCAGCAGUGGGGAAUUUUGGACAAUGGGCGAAAGCCUGAUCCAGCAAUGCCGCGUGUGUGAAGAAGGCCUCGGUGUAAG